RNAcentral lists this ribosomal RNA (309 nucleotides) under uncultured eukaryote. Its description in RNAcentral is "partial 18S ribosomal RNA". It matches the Rfam family "Eukaryotic small subunit ribosomal RNA", at positions 1470 to 1796 of the family's 1831-position model. The record is from RNAcentral.
CCCUUAGAUGUUCUGGGCGGCCCGCGCACUACAAUGGCGUGUGCAGCGAGUGCCGAAGUAGAGGUUUCCGAGGUAUUCUUGCAAUGCUCGUUUUGAUGGGGAUAGACCCUUGCAACUGUUGGUUUUGAACGAGGAAUUCCUUGUAAGCAUGGUUUAUCAUCCGACGCUGAAUGCGUCCCUGCCCUUUGUACACACCGCCCGUCGCUCCUACCGAUGAGUCGUCCGGUGAAGUUCGUAGACCUCGUGAUCGCGGAUCACUGGGGGAAGCAAAAUGAACCUCGCGGUUUAGAGGAAGGAGAAGUCGUAACA